GGGGGGUGGGGAACGGCUGUCACAGCAGGGUCCCGGGGAGCUGAGAAGUUGGAGGAGCCCUCCCCCAGCUCCCAUCUGGAAGCCAGAAGGUUUUGGUCUGUGGCUUUCAGGUACCCGGGAGAACCUGUCCUCUCCCUUCCCCCGCCGUACAUCUGUGAGUCCGAAAGCUUCGCGCCUCGUCUACAGUUCGACUUGAGGUCUUUGCUCCAGAGAUCUGGAAGCCUUUUCUGAUCUGCUGAUCCGGCGGGGCGGCCUGGGCUCGUGGGUGGGCUCAGGGAAAGAACUGUGAGCGUCUCUUCGAGCCCCGGAGACCCGCAGGGCUAGGGCGAGCAGCUGGCGGCCAGAUGUGUAGGCAGGAGCGUUAGCAGCCUUCAACGCCACGCGGGACAUCUGAACCCACGCUCCUGCCAAGCACGUCCGUUUCACCUUUGGCUAGGCCUCCAGAUCCUUCAUCCCGCGCUGCGACAGAGCCCGCUCUCGAGACCUUGUGGCACGCUGGGAAGUGGGGAAUCCCCGGGCCGUCGCGGGGAGAGGCCAAGAGUUCCCAGAAGGCGCAGGUCACUGCACGCAGGGGCGAGGUCUGAACGUCCCACCCCGUCUCUGGUUGACGUAAUCGGCCCCUAGGGCUGUCGGCUGGCUACCGAGCUCCGGAACUCCGCCUUCUGACUCGUUUCCUCCCAGGCUCCACCCUGCAGUCUCUCUGCCUCAAGCCAGUGGACCUUGUCAGAGUCCAAGACCCCUGGAAACCGGUCUGGACACUUCCUGCUUCACACUAGUCACAACUUGUGGCCUGGCACCUCCCAGGCUUCAGAAGCUGCCACCUGCCUAUUGAAUCCUGCAGAGCAGGGGAGGCGGAUUGUGUCUGUUCCCUUGCUUUUUUGCAAGGAGAUCCUACCACGGCCUUAGUUUCCUCAUCUAUUAAGAAAACAGCCGGGUGGUGGUGGCACACGCCUUUAAUCCCAGCCCUCCCUUGGGAGGCAGAGGCAGGUGGAUCUCAGCGCGUUACAAGCCUGCCUGGUCUAGCCAGGGAUAGAGAGAUAGAAAUAUAGAGAGAUAAACAAACAAACAAACAAACAAAAAGAUAAGAUCUUAAAUAAAGAUAAGAUCGAAGCACG
Long non-coding RNA from Psammomys obesus (fat sand rat), 1115 nucleotides. RefSeq lists it as uncharacterized. NCBI's taxonomy places the organism in Eukaryota, Metazoa, Chordata, Mammalia, Rodentia, Muridae. The transcript has 2 exons. The record is from RefSeq and is a predicted model, not a curated record.